AUGUCCUGCGUGAUCCCCUGCAGGAGGUCAGCUCCGGGGGCCGGGGCUGCGUGGACCCGUUUUCAGAAGGCUGAAUAUCGUUACAGCCACGUGCACACAUCUCCCACUUCCGGGACCUUGGAAAACCUCUCCCCGCGGACGGAGACCCUCCUGAUGGUUGUAGAUCUCGCCUCCCUUUCGGACACCUGCCCCAAACGCGCGCAUCUGGUCCAUUUCUCCUGUUCCCCAACUGCUAUCCAAAGCCGAACCCGCUUUCCCGCGCCCAGCAGCCCGCGACGGAUCCCGGGAGGCGUCUCAACCAGCAGAGGGCGGCCGAGGAGCGCGCCCCGGGGGUGGGGGGCGGCGGACGUGGCCGGACGCCUCGGGGAAGGGCAGGGCCCGGCCGGCCCGCGGCCGAAGAGGUCGCCCAUUGCGGGAAGCGCUGACGUCACAGCAUCAGCAGAAUCCCUUCGCCUUCUCGCCUUCUCGCCGCCCGGGGCCACAGCCGGUGCGCAGCCCGAGGCUACUCCGUGGUCUCCACCGCCCGCUCUGGCAGGCAGGAAGGCGAGGGGCAGCCAGGCGGGGCGCGAGGGGCAACUCAGCCAGACCAGGUCCCGCGCGGACAGAGGUCUGCUGCCUGGCGCUGUGCCUGACCGGACCCGGGGUGCCCCUUUACCGAUGGGGGCAUCUCCCGGAGCUCCACACAGCCAGGUCUGCGUCCCUGGGAGAGGCUGUCAGCCGGCUUUGAGCCUCGUGUAAUUCUAAUUACCGAAUGCAGCUGGGUGCAGCUGUUUCUGCCCAGCCCCGUGUGUUCUGAGGUUCAUCACUGCUGCUGUCCGUGCGCACUGCUGCAUCGUGUUCCGAGGCAGAGCUACACCGCGGCGUGUUACUGCAGGACGCUGCUGGCAAGCGUUUGGGUGGUACCGUGUCGUUUCGCUGUCAGGAACGGGGUGCCGUGAAUAUUCUCUUGUUCCUCGGGGUGGUGGUUCUGAGGUUGCCUGCUCAUUAGAAUACCAGGGGAGGGAGCUUUUCAAGCCGCUUACCCCAGAGGCCCCCACGCAGACAUCAUCUGGGUGUGCUUGGGAGGGACCGAAUUCCCCAGGGAAAGUUAGGGCUGAGCUUCUGGGAUGCCACUGGUCGGGGAACAGGGCUGAGUGGGAUCACCUGCGGGGGACUGAGGCCAGGCGCUCCCCCAUGGGCUGUGCCCCCCAACCCCACCACUAAGGAAGCGAGUACGUGCUAGAGAAAUGAUGCGAACAGUAUUAAUUUA
RNAcentral lists this long non-coding RNA (1249 nucleotides) under Oryctolagus cuniculus (rabbit). Its description in RNAcentral is "lncRNA (ENSOCUG00000030023.1)". The record is from RNAcentral. Lineage: Eukaryota; Metazoa; Chordata; Mammalia; Lagomorpha; Leporidae.